ACCCAAACCGAGUCGACCCAACCCAAGCCUAUACACACGCAUAUACGAUGGAGAAGACAGUAGAGAGGGCUGAAAAAUUGAAGGGCGCAGCUGGGGCUGCUUCUUCUGAAAAAUACAAAAACACAAUACACAGAUACACGGGAGACGCUGGGAAUUGAAGAAGCUGCGCAGCUUUGGCUGCUGCUUCACAUACAACACACGCUGAUACACAACAGAAGAGAAGCGGCGCAGCUUUUGAAGACAACCCUCACAGGACCAGCGACGCAACACCAGAGAAACGACCCCAGCCCCCUUUCCCGUAUUCUUCAAACCCCCCUGGUUCUGUAACGUUCGACGGUCCCAAACGACCCCUGCUGUUUCUUCCAUUUUUUCCAUUCAGGACAGCACCGGUAAACACGCACACACGUACAACUGACUGGGAAUACAGCAGAAACAGUGACAAUACAUGAGAGUUUUCCAGUCGUCGAGCCGUUGAGGUCGUCACCGAAGUUCCGCUCAUCGAUCUCUGUUCGUUUCCAAAUCUGUUUGCUUCCGCCUGAGCUAAUCUUUUGCUGGCUUAUGCUGCUUGUGUAAUUGCUGAACACUUCCGCUAAAUUGGAAGCUUGAUUUUCAGGUUCAUAAUCUAUUUUUCCCAUAUUAUUUAAUUUUGUUAGAUUUCCGUUACCUGUACUCUGUUUUACUUUCAUGCCUAAGGUCCGAAUUUGUUUUGCUUGGAGAUAUUGGGAUUGCCAUGUGAUGUGAUUUUUGUGAUGACUGAGUUAGUGUUCAGAUCCGUCCAGCCUCACAUGAAUAUACCGCAUGUUUGAUUGGUUUUCUUGGUUGAAUUUCAAUUGAGUCGAGUUUGAAGUUGUCCUAACUCACUUGUCGAUGUAGAUGUUAGUGGUAAAACGACUUACUGCUUGUAUUGAGGAAACAUUAGUUUUAGAAAAAAACCUUGCUUCUUCAAUGAAUGAUAGUGUAUUUUGUUUCAUCCCUGUAUUGAGGAAACAUUAGUUUUGGAAAACAACCUUGCUGCUUGAAUGAUUGAGAGUGUAUUUUCUUUCAUCCGUGUAUUUGCUGUAAUCUUCGUUAAUUAAAGACCAUCGAAGGUUCAGUUCUUCUUUCCUCUUAAUGUAGUCUUUAAUUAUUUGUGAAUACAAGUAAAAUGGAAGUUGUUUGAAUUAGUUGGUCUGUUCGCUUUAUAUGUUAUCGCCUCAGCUAUUUGGAUUAGAACUUGGUUUUUGAUCCAUGUAUUGUUGGUUCAAGGAGGACUCUUGUGAUUCCUGAUUGAAUCUGGAUCCUUUUAGGUUUGUGUUUUUCUGUCGUUGAGCUCCUGAGUUGUUGUUGCUUCGCUAAAUGCGUUUACAUGAUUCAAUGGGAAGUUACUGAGAUGUUCAUGUAAUAAUGUGCACAAAUGCUCACUGAUGAACACGCUGGAUUUCUGUUCCAUUUUGAGCGGAUUUGUCACCAGUUCUCAAACUUUCAUUGGCAUAUUUGUUGUAUCUCUCGCUCAGCAACAGAGAACAACGGAGGGAGCUUCCAUUUUCUUCACAACGCUUGAACCUCAACUACAACCUAGCUGCAAAACAGAGUGCCUGAGCUCCAGCUUCAAAAUUUAUACCUUAUUCAGUCACUCUUCUGUUGAUUUUGUUUAAGGUAUGCCAUACUCAUCUAUGACCCUUUGUCCAAUUCAUAAUUGAAAGAAUAUGAAUUUAUUCGUGUUACUGGAUUGUUUGAUUUCGUGGAGCCCUCACGUUCAGCUUUUAAAGUUGUUUACUGAUGUUCUCUUUGGCAUUUACUGCCACAUGUGUGUUUGAAUAACCAAUCAUUUCAAGUUUUGAACUUAUGAUAUUUGGUUGGGAUUUGAUGAAAUAGUGUUAUUAUUAUGAUAGUUUAAUUACAUCGAUGGGCGGAUCUACAUAUAAAAUUUGGGUGCUCGAGCACCCAUUAAUCUCGACCCCGAACACGUAUAAUUAUAUAAAAAAUUUAAAAAAUCGGAUAUAACAAAAUAGCAAGCAUCCAGAUAACAAAAGGCUUGGUGGGUGUGUUGGUUAUGAUGGAUGUUGAAGGGCUCUAAAUGAGUAUAUAGUCGAGAGAUCGAAUCUCACUCACGCCCCUAGCUAGACUUUUUCCUCCAUUUAUCAAGCACUANNN
RNAcentral lists this long non-coding RNA (2133 nucleotides) under Nicotiana benthamiana. RNAcentral's name for it is "long non-coding RNA (NBEN_LNC012236)". Lineage: Eukaryota; Viridiplantae; Streptophyta; Magnoliopsida; Solanales; Solanaceae. The record is from RNAcentral.